Molecule: ribosomal RNA, 520 nt
Filed under: uncultured bacterium
Lineage: Bacteria
Description: bacterial LSU rRNA
Rfam family: Bacterial large subunit ribosomal RNA
Source: RNAcentral
CGGUUGUCUGGGCUGGAAAAAAACCUAGAAGUACCGUACAAAUACCAACACAGGUUGACUGGCUGAGUAAGCUACGACGAAAAAGGUAACAACACUAAAGGAACUCUGCAAAAUUGCCUUGUAACUUAGGGGAGAAAAGGCGUCCUGUUGACUAAGAAAAGAGGGGGUAGCGACUGUUUAUUAAAAACAUAAGACUUUGCGAAGUAGAAAUAUGAAGUAUAAAGUCUGACACCUGCCCAGUGCUGAUCGGUGAAGUAGUUAUAUUUUACGUAUAACUUAUAAGCCACGGUAAACGGCGGCCGUAACCCUGACGGUCCUAAGGUAGCAAAAUCCCUUGACGGGUAAGUUCCGUCCUGCACGAAUGGUGUAACGACUGCCCCACUGUCUCUAGUGUUGACUUUUAUGAAAUUGAAGUUAUUGUGAAGAUGCGAUAAAAUACAGCUAGACGGAGAGACCCUAUGCACCUUUACUGUUAGCUGCUUAUGACAAAAAUAAGAGGAAUAUAGAUACGUAGGAGCUG